GAAAUGCGAUACGCAAUGCGAAUUGCAGAAUUCCGCGAGUCAUCAGAUUUUUGAACGCAACUGGCGCCAGUUUACUGGCAUGUCUGUUUCAGUGUGCUUGGGAGAAAACAUAAAUCAUAUAAUAACUGAUUGCGAUUGAGGUGCAAACUUCUUUCGUUAAAUAUGAAGGUGUGAGAAGAGUAUAGACUCACACUGGAAAACGAAGUAGUCACGCUGAGUUCGUGAUCUCGUUUAACCGGUGCUUGAAGGUCAACUCUGUAAAAAUCACAUCUCAGCUUAACCAAUCUCCAAUUUGGCAUCUGAAAUCAGGCAAGGGUACCCGCUGAACUUAA
RNAcentral lists this unclassified non-coding RNA (332 nucleotides) under uncultured fungus. Its description in RNAcentral is "sequence contains ITS1". The stretch from base 1 to 97 matches the Rfam family "5.8S ribosomal RNA", at positions 50 to 154 of the family's 154-position model. The record is from RNAcentral. Lineage: Eukaryota; Fungi.